GGGCCGGCGCUCCCGGUCCCCCGAGCCCCGCGCGCUAUGGCGGGCGCCCUGCUAGUCCGCAGCUCCGCGGCCGCCGGCUAGCCGGGCUGCGCGGUCCCUGCUGCCCUACUCCUUCCCCCCGCGUCCCGGGCCUCGGAGCCGCGCUGGGGAGGAUGAGUCCCUGGAGCUGGUUCCUGCUGCCGACCCUCUACCUCCUGCCCACGGGCGCAGACCCGCGGCGCGGCGCGCCUGCCUCCGCCAACUGCGAGCUCAAGCCCCAGCAAAGUGAAUUGAAUUCCUUCUUGUGGACCAUAAAGCGAGACCCGCCAUCUUACUUCUUUGGCACGAUCCAUGUUCCAUACACUCGGGUUUGGGACUUCAUCCCGGACAACUCCAAAGAAGCUUUUCAGCAGAGCAGCAUUGUGUACUUCGAGCUGGACCUCACUGACCCCUACACAAUCUCGGCCCUCACUAGUUGUCAGAUGCUGCCACAGGGAGAGAACCUCCAGGACGUGCUCCCCCGGGACAUCUACUGCCGCCUCAAGCGACACCUAGAGUAUGUCAAGCUCAUGAUGCCCUUGUGGAUGACGCCGGACCAGCGUGGCAAAGGCCUCUAUGCCGACUACCUCUUCAAUGCCAUUGCGGGGAACUGGGAGCGGAAGAGGCCCAUCUGGGUGAUGCUUAUGGUCAACUCCCUGACGGAAGUGGACAUUAAGUCCCGUGGGGUGCCUGUCUUAGACCUGUACCUUGCCCAGGAGGCUGAGCGGCUGAGGAAGCAGACUGGGGCUGUGGAAAAUGUGGAAGAGCAGUGCCAUCCACUGAAUGGGCUGAACUUCUCACAGGUCAUCUUUGCUUUGAACCAGACCCUCCUGCAGCAGGAGAGCCUUCGAGCAGGCAGCCUUCAGAUCCCCUACACGACGGAGGAUCUCAUCAAACACUAUAACUGUGGGGACCUCAGCUCUGUCAUCUUCAGCCAUGACAGCUCCCAGGCGGAGGUUCCCAAUUUUAUUAACGCCACGCUGCCGCCCCAGGAGCGCGUCACCGCGCAGGAGAUCGACAGCUACUUCCGCCAGGAGCUUAUCUACAAGCGGAAUGAGAGAAUGGGGAAGCGGGUGAAGGCGCUCUUGGAAGAGUUUCCUGACAAAGGCUUUUUCUUUGCCUUUGGAGCUGGUCAUUUCAUGGGCAACAACACAGUACUUGAUGUCUUGCGGCGCGAAGGCUAUGAGGUAGAACACGCCCCUGCUGGACGACCCAUCAACAAAGAGAAGAGCCAAACUCCGUCCUUGGGGCCCACCUUCUCGUCCAUCUUUGCUCCGGAAGUGCCUGCUGUGGACAUGCGAGCUCCGGAAGCUGCGUUUGCAGCCCACUCGCCUCACGUGUCCCCGCCCGGAAGUGCAGACCUGGGUGGUGGGGCGGAGCCGAAGUAUCGGAAGAAGCGGAGGCGGCCACGCCCACAGCGAAGGCAGCGGCUUAGGCAGUUCAGUGAUCUGUGGGUUCGACUGGAGGAGCGUGUCAUGGUCCCACAGCUCCAGGUCCCCAUUCUGGAUAGGUCCGUCUCCGCUGAGCUGCAGCUCCUUCACCGUGGGCAUUCCCACCACAGCCAGUUGGUGGCCAGCAGUGCCUGCCUGUCUCUCUGGACUCCUGUGUUCUGGGUGCUGGCGCUGGCUUUCCAAACAGAGGCACCCCUCCUGUAAUGACUGGAGGGGCUAGGCCAAGCCCCUGACCCCAUGGACUUGAAGGAUGGCCAUUCCUGUACUCCACACUCUGGUCUAGCCUUGAUAGGCCCAACCCAAGAAAAGAGAGUAAAAUGCAGUGUUGGUGGUUCUCUGUCCAAGAAUUGACUUUGGGUUAUCCAGCAGAGCUUGGGGUGAGGACAGCGCUGCCUAAAGAGGCUACAUUUACUGACCUUGCCCAGCUACUGGAGAUGGAGCCUGGCCCCUAGGCCCACAGAGCCUGCCCUGCCGGGUCACACAGCCAAACGUAUCACCUUCAGCCACUGCAGACCACUGAAAUGAACCAAUGCUGAACUCUUGACAGUAUUCAGAAAGUAUCAUCUUGAUGUGAGGCGGAACACAGGAAAAUAGAUGUAAAUUGACACUGCUUGCUGAAGCUUUGUGACACUGCAUUUGCUCUUGGGAGAGAUGGACUGCUGCCACAAAGGGGAGUUUUCUGUGCAUACUGGACACCUGAGUGUUGAGAACACAUGGCAGAUGGAGGCACUCUUGAACAGAACGUGGAAUAGGCAGACAGGAACAGGUGACACAAGAAGCCCUGACAAGCAGGAGCAGCACUUCCCUGAGACUUGACUCUGAGUGACUUCUGGAAGGGAAGCACUAACACAGCACUCCCAGUUGCUCCCUGACGUCCCCAUGAGCAGUGCUCACAUAAUAUAGGGUUCGCAUAAUGGAAGAAGGUAUGAAGCGAGAAGGGGCAUCCGCAAAACUGCCCCAAAGAGGAGGGUGGAGAGAGAG
RNA transcript from Lontra canadensis (Northern American river otter), 2450 nucleotides. It is a transcript of the gene named TraB domain containing 2A, with no coding region annotated. The record is from RefSeq and is a predicted model, not a curated record. NCBI's taxonomy places the organism in Eukaryota, Metazoa, Chordata, Mammalia, Carnivora, Mustelidae. The transcript has 12 exons.